RNAcentral lists this ribosomal RNA (836 nucleotides) under uncultured fungus. RNAcentral's name for it is "SSU rRNA". It matches the Rfam family "Eukaryotic small subunit ribosomal RNA", at positions 564 to 1429 of the family's 1831-position model. Lineage: Eukaryota; Fungi. The record is from RNAcentral.
GUGCCAGCAGCCGCGGUAAUUCCAGCUCCAAUAGCGUAUAUUAAAGUUGUUGUGGUUAAAAAGCUCGUAGUUGAACCUUGGGCCUGGCUGGCCGGUCCGCCUCACCGCGUGCACUGGUCCGGCCGGGCCUUUCCCUCUGUGGAACCCCAUACCCUUCACUGGGCGUGGCGGGGAAACAGGACAUUUACUUUGAAAAAAUUAGAGUGCUCCAGGCAGGCCUAUGCUCGAAUACAUUAGCAUGGAAUAAUAAAAUAGGACGCGCGGUUCUAUUUUGUUGGUUUAUAGGACCGCCGUAAUGAUUAAUAGGGACAGUCGGGGGCAUCAGUAUUCAACUGUCAGAGGUGAAAUUCUUGGAUCAGUUGAAGACUAACUACUGCGAAAGCAUUUGCCAAGGAUGUUUUCAUUAAUCAGGAACGAAAGUUAGGGGAUCGAAGACGAUCAGAUACCGUCGUAGUCUUAACCAUAAACUAUGCCGACUAGGGAUCGGACGGUGUUAUUCAUGACCCGUUCGGCAUCUUACGAGAAAUCAAAGUGCUUGGGCUCCAGGGGGAGUAUGGUCGCAAGGCUGAAACUUAAAGAAAUUGACGGAAGGGCACCACCAGGGGUGGAGCCUGCGGCUUAAUUUGACUCAACACGGGGAAACUCACCAGGUCCAGACACAAUAAGGAUUGACAGAUUGAGAGCUCUUUCUUGAUUUUGUGGGUGGUGGUGCAUGGCCGUUCUUAGUUGGUGGGGUGACUUGUCUGCUUAAUUGCGAUAACGAACGAGACCUUAACCUGCUAAAUAGCCCGCAUUGCUCCGGCAGUGCGCUGGCUUCUUAGAGGGACUUUCGGCUC